UACGUAGGGUGCGAGCGUUGUCCGGAAUUACUGGGCGUAAAGAGCUCGUAGGUGGUUUGUCGCGUCGUCUGUGAAAUCCCGGGGCUUAACUUCGGGCGUGCAGGCGAUACGGGCAUAACUUGAGUGCUGUAGGGGAGACUGGAAUUCCUGGUGUAGCGGUGAAAUGCGCAGAUAUCAGGAGGAACACCGAUGGCGAAGGCAGGUCUCUGGGCAGUUACUGACGCUGAGGAGCGAAAGCAUGGGUAGCGAACAGGAUUAGA
This 260-nucleotide ribosomal RNA is filed under the name uncultured prokaryote. RNAcentral describes it as "partial 16S ribosomal RNA". It matches the Rfam family "Bacterial small subunit ribosomal RNA", at positions 524 to 782 of the family's 1533-position model. The record is from RNAcentral.